RNAcentral lists this ribosomal RNA (431 nucleotides) under uncultured bacterium. Its description in RNAcentral is "bacterial SSU rRNA". It matches the Rfam family "Bacterial small subunit ribosomal RNA", at positions 917 to 1341 of the family's 1533-position model. The record is from RNAcentral.
GGGCUCACACAAGCGGUGGAGGAUGUGGCUUAAUUCGAGGCUACGCGAAGAACCUUAUCCUGGGUUUGACAUGCACGGAUCAACCCUGUGAAAGCAGGGCCACGCCCUUUGGGUGGAACGUGCACAGGUGCUGCAUGGCUGUCGUCAGCUCGUGUCGUGAGAUGUCGGGUUAAGUCCCUUAACGAGCGAAACCCUUGUCACUAGUUGCCAGCGAGUAACGUCGGGGACUCUAGUGAGACUGCCGGUGUUAAACCGGAGGAAGGUGGGGAUGACGUCAAGUCCUCAUGGCCUUUAUGCCCAGGGCUGCACACGUCCUACAAUGGCGCGCACAAAGGGAAGCGAACCCGCGAGGGCAAGCAAAUCCCAAAAAACGCGCCCCAGUUCGGAUUGCAGGCUGCAACUCGCCUGCAUGAAGCCGGAAUCGCUAGUAA